CCUACGGGUGGCUGCAGUGGGGAAUAUUGGACAAUGGGCGAAAGCCUGAUCCAGCCAUGCCGCGUGUGUGAAGAAGGCCUUCGGGUUGUAAAGCACUUUCAGUGGGGAAGAAAGCCUUGGGGCUAAUACCCUCGAGGAAGGACAUCACCCACAGAAGAAGCACCGGCUAACUCCGUGCCAGCAGCCGCGGUAAUACGGAGGGUGCGAGCGUUAAUCGGAAUUACUGGGCGUAAAGCGCGCGUAGGCGGUCUGAUAAGCCGGUUGUGAAAGCCCCGGGCUCAACCUGGGAACGGCAUCCGGAACUGUCAGGCUAGAGUGCAGGAGAGGAAGGUAGAAUUCCCGGUGUAGCGGUGAAAUGCGUAGAGAUCGGGAGGAAUACCAGUGGCGAAGGCGGCCUUCUGGACUGACACUGACGCUGAGGUGCGAAAGCGUGGGUAGCAAACAGGAUUAGAUACCCCAGGUC
Molecule: ribosomal RNA, 463 nt
Filed under: Vreelandella stevensii
Lineage: Bacteria; Pseudomonadati; Pseudomonadota; Gammaproteobacteria; Oceanospirillales; Halomonadaceae
Description: partial 16S ribosomal RNA
Rfam family: Bacterial small subunit ribosomal RNA
Source: RNAcentral